GAGAACUUUCCAGAGAUGGAUUGGUGCCUUCGGGAACUCAGACACAGGUGCUGCAUGGCUGUCGUCAGCUCGUGUCGUGAGAUGUUGGGUUAAGUCCCGUAACGAGCGCAACCCUUGUCCUUAGUUACCAGCACCUCUGGUGGGCACUCUAAGGAGACUGCCGGUGACAAACCGGAGGAAGGUGGGGAUGACGUCAAGUCAUCAUUGCCCUUACGGCCAGGGCUACACACGUGCUACAAUGGUCGGUACAAAGGGUUGCCAAGCCGCGAGGUGGAGCUAAUCCCAUAAAUCCGAUCGUAGUCCGGAUCGCAGUCUGCAACUCGGCUGUGU
Molecule: ribosomal RNA, 330 nt
Filed under: Pseudomonas aeruginosa
Lineage: Bacteria; Pseudomonadati; Pseudomonadota; Gammaproteobacteria; Pseudomonadales; Pseudomonadaceae
Description: bacterial SSU rRNA
Rfam family: Bacterial small subunit ribosomal RNA
Source: RNAcentral